CUCACCUCUUACCAUUCCGAACAGAGAAGUUAAGCCCGUUAGCGCCAAUGGUACUACAAUCGUGGGAGAGUAGGUCGCCGCCUUCC
This 86-nucleotide ribosomal RNA is filed under the name Aquimarina sp. AD1. The record is from RNAcentral. Lineage: Bacteria; Pseudomonadati; Bacteroidota; Flavobacteriia; Flavobacteriales; Flavobacteriaceae.